GACGAACGCUGGCGGCGUGCUUAACACAUGCAAGUCGAACGGAAAGGCCCUGCUUGCCGGGUACUCGAGUGGCGAACGGGUGAGUAACACGUGGGUGAUCUGCCCUGCACUUCGGGAUAAGCCUGGAAAACUGGGUCUAAUACCGGAUAGGAGCCAUUUUUAGCGUGAUGGUUGGAAAGUUUUUUCGGUGUAGGAUGAGCUCGCGGCCUAUCAGCUUGUUGGUGGGGUAAUGGCCUACCAAGGCGGCGACGGGUAGCCGGCCUGAGAGGGUGGACGGCCACACUGGGACUGGGACACGGUCCUGGCUACUACGGGAGGCAGAAGCGGGGACUAGUGGCAGAUGGGCGGAAGCUUGAUCAAGCCGUACCGCGUGGGUGAAGCAGGCCUUCGGGUUGUAAAGCCCUUUUGUUGUGGAAGAAAAGCAGCGGGAGGAUAGCCCGCUGUUGUGACGGUACCUAAAGAAGAAGCACCGGCUAACUUCGUG
This 484-nucleotide ribosomal RNA is filed under the name uncultured bacterium. RNAcentral describes it as "partial 16S ribosomal RNA". It matches the Rfam family "Bacterial small subunit ribosomal RNA", at positions 28 to 507 of the family's 1533-position model. The record is from RNAcentral.